Molecule: long non-coding RNA, 1513 nt
Filed under: Oncorhynchus mykiss (rainbow trout)
Lineage: Eukaryota; Metazoa; Chordata; Actinopteri; Salmoniformes; Salmonidae
Description: lncRNA (ENSOMYG00000024233.2)
Source: RNAcentral
AUGUCUGCUUGUCCCACCUUGAGAUCAUCAUGGAGAGUGGCUCUUGAUGUUGCUUGUAGAGUCAGCCAGCCAUGGAAGGGGAGUAGGUUGUCUUACUCUGGUUUUGCUCCCAUGGAGCCUGGUCACCAGGACAGACGUAAAGAUGACUCAAAGAUGACUCCACCAUCUUGGCUGAACAGACACUGCACACACCUGUCAUGCUUAGAAGUGCUCCAAUGUUUAGAUAUUCAACCUGGCCAGCUUCGGUCCUUACAGAAUGCAGAAGACACCAAACAAAGCAUCGGGGAGUGCUGGCUUUCCGGUUGGUGGUGACGUCGGGUCCGGGGGCCGCCACUGAUGGAUCCGGGGGUGCCUAAGCCAGCUCAUCAGGCUGUCACACCCUAGCUGGCUCGAGAGGUUUCUUUCCCCGGUUGGCUCAGAAGGCACCAAUCCCACGUCAGGCCUCAGCUGGAUCGUCAGGAUUUUAUGCCCAGCCAGCUUGUCAGGCGGCUACGCCUCCACCGGAUCAUCAGGCUCCCACGCGGGAUCGACAGGCCUUCAUGCCUCAGCCGGCUUGCCAGGCUCUCACGCCUCUGCCUGUUCGUCUGGGUUUCACGUCCAGCUGGCUUGUUCAGCGCCCGUGCCUCAUCCGGCCCGUUAGGCUCGCCCAGGUGGGACGCUGGGUGGCACCCCUAGAGGGGGUUACUGUCACGCGCAUCAGCCUAUUAUUGGACUCACUUAGACUCAAUCACCUGUUUAUUGCCUCCCCUAUAUUUGUCAGUUCCCCAUCUCUGUUCUCCGCUGCUGCAUUGAUUGUUGAUUGUCAUUGUGUACCUGUGUGCUGACGCUGUUCCUGUCUUGAGCUUUGUCAGUUUCUCAUUUAAAUGUUCUACUCCCCGUUCCUGCUUCUCGACUCCAGCGUCGGUCCUUUCACUGUAUACCAACCCUACCUUGUCACAAAUGCAUUAAGAAAGAAAGAAAUUCCACAAAUGUACUUUUAACAAGGCACACCUGUUAAUUGAAAUGCAUUUCAGGUGACUACCUCAUGAAGCUGGUUGAGAGAAUGCCAAGAGUGUGCAAAGCUGUCAUCAAGGCAAGGGUGGCUAAUUUGAAGAAUCUACAAUAUAAAAUAUAUUUUGAUUUGUUCAACACUUUUGUGGUUACUACAUGAUUCCAUAUGUGUUAUUUCAUAGUUUUGAUGUCUUCACUAUUAUUCUACAAUGUAGAAAAUAGUAAAAAUAAAGAAAAACUCUUGAAUGAGUAGGUGUCCAAACUUUUGACUUGUACUGUAUAUUUACUAUCAACUUUAUAAAUGACAUCCUAUAAGAUUUUAGCUGUAUUUUUACUGUAAUAAUUCAUCAAUUAACUAGUGGGUUGGGAAAAGUAUCCUGAGUCCUUACAGCACUGCCUUGAUUCAUUCUUUCCUCCCCUCCUGUACAGUGGGUUAGUGACUCUAUGAAUUCCAGAUCUCAGCUUUUGUCUCCUAUAAAUGUUUUCCUGCUGUAAUGAUUACAAAUGAUGACUGUCUACAAAU